UACGUAGGGUGCAAGCGUUAUCCGGAAUUAUUGGGCGUAUAGAGCUCGUAGGCGGAUUGUCGCGUCUGCCGUGAAAGUCCGGGGCUCAACUCCGGAUCUGCGGUGGGUACGGGCAGACUAGAGUGAUGUAGGGGAGACUGGAAUUCCUGGUGUAGCGGUGAAAUGCGCAGAUAUCAGGAGGAACACCGAUGGCGAAGGCAGGUCUCUGGGCAUUAACUGACGCUGAGGAGCGAAAGCAUGGGGAGCGAACAGG
RNAcentral lists this ribosomal RNA (253 nucleotides) under uncultured bacterium. Its description in RNAcentral is "partial 16S ribosomal RNA". It matches the Rfam family "Bacterial small subunit ribosomal RNA", at positions 524 to 776 of the family's 1533-position model. The record is from RNAcentral.